GAUGAACGCUGGCGGCGUGCCUAAUACAUGCAAGUCGAGCGAACGGACGAGAAGCUUGCCUCUCUGAUGUUAGCGGCGGACGGGUGAGUAACACGUGGAUAACCUACCUAUAAGACUGGGAUAACUUCGGGAAACCGGAGCUAAUACCGGAUGAUAUUUUGAACCGCAUGGUUCAAAAGUGAAAGACGGUCUUGCUGUCACUUAUAGAUGGAUCCGCGCUGCAUUAGCUAGUUGGUAAGGUAACGGCUUACCAAGGCAACGAUGCAUAGCCGACCUGAGAGGGUGAUCGGCCACACUGGAACUGAGACACGGUCCAGACUCCUACGGGAGGCGGCAGUAGGGAAUCUUCCGCAAUGGGCGAAAGCCUGACGGAGCAACGCCGCGUGAGUGAUGAAGGUCUUCGGAUCGUAAAACUCUGUUAUUAGGGAAGAACAUAUGUGUAAGUAACUGUGCACAUCUUGACGGUACCUAAUCAGAAAGCCACGGCUAACUACGUG
This 497-nucleotide ribosomal RNA is filed under the name uncultured bacterium. RNAcentral describes it as "partial 16S ribosomal RNA". It matches the Rfam family "Bacterial small subunit ribosomal RNA", at positions 28 to 507 of the family's 1533-position model. The record is from RNAcentral.